GACGAACGCUGGCGGCGUGCCUAAUACAUGCAAGUAGAACGCUGAAGGAGGAGCUUGCUCUUCUGGAUGAGUUGCGAACGGGUGAGUAACGCGUAGGUAACCUGCCCGGUAGCGGGGGAUAACUAUUGGAAACGAUAGCUAAUACCGCAUAACAGUAGAUGUUGCAUGACAUUUGCUUAAAAGGUGCAAUUGCAUCACUACCAGUUGGACCUGCGUUGUAUUAGCUAGUUGGUGGGGUAACGGCUCACCAAGGCGACGAUAGAUAGUCGACCUGAGAGGGGGGUCGGGCACACCGGGAAUGGGACACGGCCCAGACUUCUACGGGAGGCAGCCAUAGGGAAUCUUCGGGAAAGGAGGGAAGUCUGACCGAGGAACGGCGGGGGAGUGAAGAAGGUUCUCCGAUCGUAAAGCUCCGGUUUAUGGGAAGAAAGAGUGUGGGAGUUGAAAGUGCACGCUGUGACGGUAUCUUACCAGAAAGGGACGGCUAACUACGUG
This 495-nucleotide ribosomal RNA is filed under the name uncultured bacterium. RNAcentral describes it as "partial 16S ribosomal RNA". It matches the Rfam family "Bacterial small subunit ribosomal RNA", at positions 28 to 507 of the family's 1533-position model. The record is from RNAcentral.